UACGAAGGGGGCUAGCGUUGCUCGGAAUCACUGGGCGUAAAGCGCCCGUAGGCGGAUCUUUAAGUCGGGGGUGAAAUCCCGGGGCUCAACCCCGGAACUGCCUUCGAUACUGAGGAUCUUGAGUCCGGGAGAGGUGAGUGGAACUGCGAGUGUAGAGGUGAAAUUCGUAGAUAUUCGCAAGAACACCAGUGGCGAAGGCGGCUCACUGGCCCGGUACUGACGCUGAGGUGCGAAAGCGUGGGGAGCAAACAGG
Molecule: ribosomal RNA, 253 nt
Filed under: uncultured bacterium
Lineage: Bacteria
Description: partial 16S ribosomal RNA
Rfam family: Bacterial small subunit ribosomal RNA
Source: RNAcentral